GGACCAUCGCAGAGUUAAUGAGGCCAUCAGGAGCUAGGGAACAUCACCCAAUACCUACAAUUGCGGAACUAACGGAUGAUAUGAAUAAUGCGGCUCAUUUUUCUCGCUUACAUUUAAAAAGUGGGUACCAUCAAAUUGGAUUUAGGAUUUAUUACAAAUAUUAAAAGCUCUACUUCCAGCGAUUACAAAACUUUUGGCAAAUUUGUGAGUUCCACACUUAGGUAUUAAGAGUUUAUCAUUACCACUACGAAGAGAGUAAGAUGAAACGCCAAGCAUAUACCCAAUGCAAAUUUAACGAUAAAGCCGCGCUCCUUAAUCAAUAUAUGCGCGUUGUGCCUGAGCCGAUUGUUGGAAGCAUACGGGUUUUGCGCAACCAUCUGUGUCCCCCUUUCUACCGGACGGGGUCCAUUUCAACAGAACGCCGAGAACGGGUCAAUAUAGGCUCUAUCGCAGCUAUCGAGGUGCUAUAUUACGCGCACAACGCAUGUUAUAACAUGUUAUACAUAGAGUGUCAAUUUUAAUGUUGCUAAUUAUUAUAUUAUUGCCGACAUAUCGAGGAUAUUUCGUCCUCUUCGGAGGAUUUCUUCCCCAAUUAUGGGAUAUUUACAAUUAUUCCACCUUUGAGGUGUUUUUACCAACCUCUGUUGGCUUGCAGUUUAGAUGUUUGGCCACUCAGGACAGGAUACGCGGCGACAUUCCACUGUCUGCUAUUGCCUGAUCCUGUGAAAUUUCAAUUUACAGUUUAAGUGUGUUUCCUACAUGCGCGAAAUUUUAAUCAGUAUACGUUUGUUAUGUUUUUUCUAUUCUUCGCUGGGCGCAGAUUUUUCGUUGAGAAUGCCACCAAAGCGAUCCUCGACUCGUAAACGUGGCCACAAUGCUGGGCCGUCCACUUCUGUUGACGAAGGUCCGUCUACACGACGUAGUCGACACCAUUCAACGUACAUACUUCUUUGGCUUCUCAAGGCGAUAAUAAUGCCCAGCCACGGAUACCGCAACACGUCGCAGAACUACCAACAGCUCCAACACCAAGUGCUCUAGUCCAGCUACCGCCCGGCCUUGUCGAUUCCAUAGUCUCGACGGUGACAGCUGAGGUGACUAAACAACUGGCGCAAAAUCUGCACGCCCUACCACAUGCAUCGCCAAUGCAGUUGUCUGCAAGUCAUGCUUCAAAUAUGGUGAACGACGCAAUAACUGCGGCUCACUCGCAAAUUACAGUGAAUGAAAUGCAAGCAGAGAAAAUGAAACCUCAAGAACAGCUCACCCUGGAAUCUUACGAAAGAGAUCAUGCUGUUGUCGUUGGAAUUUACAGACCUCCACCAAAGAAAGCUGCAGCCUAAAAGAUCUAUCACCCGAAGACUCUUCCAAUACAGGAACAGAUUCAUCAACU
Molecule: long non-coding RNA, 1387 nt
Organism: Dendronephthya gigantea
Lineage: Eukaryota; Metazoa; Cnidaria; Anthozoa; Malacalcyonacea; Nephtheidae
Exons: 3
Source: RefSeq, a predicted model, not a curated record